UGUUAAAAUUUUAUCUAUUUUUACAGUUAAAAUCGACAUGAUUGAUUGAAUAACUAGAUAGUUACACGUGACGUGUCACGUAAACCUCAUAUUGAUAUAAAUGAACUAAUUUUUAAUAAUAAAAAUGAAUAGAAUUUUCAACA
Non-coding RNA from Gossypium raimondii (Peruvian cotton), 143 nucleotides. The record is from Rfam. Lineage: Eukaryota; Viridiplantae; Streptophyta; Magnoliopsida; Malvales; Malvaceae.